GGCUUUCUUGGUGAUGAAUGUGGCAUUUUUGAGGACAUUGUAAAUGCAUGUAUUUCGUACAUUACUGCCAGCCACCAUGAAUAUUGUACA
This 90-nucleotide non-coding RNA is filed under the name Pan troglodytes (chimpanzee). RNAcentral describes it as "Mitochondrial DNA control region secondary structure A". It matches the Rfam family "Mitochondrial DNA control region secondary structure A". The record is from Rfam by way of RNAcentral. Lineage: Eukaryota; Metazoa; Chordata; Mammalia; Primates; Hominidae.